GGAGAGAUGUCCGAGUGGCUAAAGGAGGCAGACUGUAAAUCUGUUGGCGUAUGCCUACGCUGGUUCGAAUCCAGCUCUCUCCACCA
Molecule: transfer RNA, 86 nt
Filed under: Gammaproteobacteria bacterium
Lineage: Bacteria; Pseudomonadati; Pseudomonadota; Gammaproteobacteria
Also listed under: 3 other names
Description: tRNA-Tyr
Rfam family: tRNA
About the family: Transfer RNA (tRNA) molecules are approximately 80 nucleotides in length.
Source: RNAcentral